UGGGGAAUAUUGCACAAUGGGCGCAAGCCUGAUGCAGCCAUGCCGCGUGUGUGAAGAAGGCCUUCGGGUUGUAAAGCACUUUCAGCGAGGAGGAAGGUGGUGAACUUAAUACGUUCAUCAAUUGACGUUACUCGCAGAAGAAGCACCGGCUAACUCCGUGCCAGCAGCCGCGGUAAUACGGAGGGUGCAAGCGUUAAUCGGAAUUACUGGGCGUAAAGCGCACGCAGGCGGUUUGUUAAGUCAGAUGUGAAAUCCCCGGGCUCAACCUGGGAACUGCAUUUGAAACUGGCAAGCUAGAGUCUCGUAGAGGGGGGUAGAAUUCCAGGUGUAGCGGUGAAAUGCGUAGAGAUCUGGAGGAAUACCGGUGGCGAAGGCGGCCCCCUGGACGAAGACUGACGCUCAGGUGCGAAAGCGUGGGGAGCGAACAGGAUUAGAUACCCCUGGUAGUCCACGCUGUAAAACGAUGUCGAUUUGGAGGUUGUGCCCCUUGAGGCGUGGCUUCCGGAGCUAACGCGUUAAAUCGACCGCCUGGGGGAGUACGGCCGCAAGGUUAAAACUCAAAGGAAUUGAC
This 571-nucleotide ribosomal RNA is filed under the name uncultured bacterium. RNAcentral's name for it is "partial 16S ribosomal RNA". It matches the Rfam family "Bacterial small subunit ribosomal RNA", at positions 355 to 914 of the family's 1533-position model. The record is from RNAcentral.